GUGCUCACUUCUGCAACACAUAUACUAAAAUUAGAACAUACAAAGAUUAGCAUGGCCCCUGUGCAAGGAAGACACGCAAAUUCAUGAAGCGUUCCAUAUUUUA
Molecule: small nuclear RNA, 103 nt
Organism: Acomys russatus (golden spiny mouse)
Lineage: Eukaryota; Metazoa; Chordata; Mammalia; Rodentia; Muridae
Source: RefSeq, a predicted model, not a curated record